Molecule: ribosomal RNA, 1733 nt
Filed under: Shigella sonnei
Lineage: Bacteria; Pseudomonadati; Pseudomonadota; Gammaproteobacteria; Enterobacterales; Enterobacteriaceae
Description: partial 23S ribosomal RNA
Rfam family: Bacterial large subunit ribosomal RNA
Source: RNAcentral
GGGGGGCCCAUCCUCCAAGGCUAAAUACUCCUGACUGACCGAUAGUGAACCAGUACCGUGAGGGAAAGGCGAAAAGAACCCCGGCGAGGGGAGUGAAAAAGAACCUGAAACCGUGUACGUACAAGCAGUGGGAGCACGCUUAGGCGUGUGACUGCGUACCUUUUGUAUAAUGGGUCAGCGACUUAUAUUCUGUAGCAAGGUUAACCGAAUAGGGGAGCCGAAGGGAAACCGAGUCUUAACUGGGCGUUAAGUUGCAGGGUAUAGACCCGAAACCCGGUGAUCUAGCCAUGGGCAGGUUGAAGGUUGGGUAACACUAACUGGAGGACCGAACCGACUAAUGUUGAAAAAUUAGCGGAUGACUUGUGGCUGGGGGUGAAAGGCCAAUCAAACCGGGAGAUAGCUGGUUCUCCCCGAAAGCUAUUUAGGUAGCGCCUCGUGAAUUCAUCUCCGGGGGUAGAGCACUGUUUCGGCAAGGGGGUCAUCCCGACUUACCAACCCGAUGCAAACUGCGAAUACCGGAGAAUGUUAUCACGGGAGACACACGGCGGGUGCUAACGUCCGUCGUGAAGAGGGAAACAACCCAGACCGCCAGCUAAGGUCCCAAAGUCAUGGUUAAGUGGGAAACGAUGUGGGAAGGCCCAGACAGCCAGGAUGUUGGCUUAGAAGCAGCCAUCAUUUAAAGAAAGCGUAAUAGCUCACUGGUCGAGUCGGCCUGCGCGGAAGAUGUAACGGGGCUAAACCAUGCACCGAAGCUGCGGCAGCGACGCUUAUGCGUUGUUGGGUAGGGGAGCGUUCUGUAAGCCUGCGAAGGUGUGCUGUGAGGCAUGCUGGAGGUAUCAGAAGUGCGAAUGCUGACAUAAGUAACGAUAAAGCGGGUGAAAAGCCCGCUCGCCGGAAGACCAAGGGUUCCUGUCCAACGUUAAUCGGGGCAGGGUGAGUCGACCCCUAAGGCGAGGCCGAAAGGCGUAGUCGAUGGGAAACAGGUUAAUAUUCCUGUACUUGGUGUUACUGCGAAGGGGGGACGGAGAAGGCUAUGUUGGCCGGGCGACGGUUGUCCCGGUUUAAGCGUGUAGGCUGGUUUUCCAGGCAAAUCCGGAAAAUCAAGGCUGAGGCGUGAUGACGAGGCACUACGGUGCUGAAGCAACAAAUGCCCUGCUUCCAGGAAAAGCCUCUAAGCAUCAGGUAACAUCAAAUCGUACCCCAAACCGACACAGGUGGUCAGGUAGAGAAUACCAAGGCGCUUGAGAGAACUCGGGUGAAGGAACUAGGCAAAAUGGUGCCGUAACUUCGGGAGAAGGCACGCUGAUAUGUAGGUGAAGUCCCUUGCGGAUGGAGCUGAAAUCAGUCGAAGAUACCAGCUGGCUGCAACUGUUUAUUAAAAACACAGCACUGUGCAAACACGAAAGUGGACGUAUACGGUGUGACGCCUGCCCGGUGCCGGAAGGUUAAUUGAUGGGGUCAGCGCAAGCGAAGCUCUUGAUCGAAGCCCCGGUAAACGGCGGCCGUAACUAUAACGGUCCUAAGGUAGCGAAAUUCCUUGUCGGGUAAGUUCCGACCUGCACGAAUGGCGUAAUGAUGGCCAGGCUGUCUCCACCCGAGACUCAGUGAAAUUGAACUCGCUGUGAAGAUGCAGUGUACCCGCGGCAAGACGGAAAGACCCCGUGAACCUUUACUAUAGCUUGACACUGAACAUUGAGCCUUGAUGUGUAGGAUAGGUGGGAGGCUUUGAAGUG